CCUCCUCCCUUGGCAUGGGAUCCAUCUCGGGCAUCCCCCUUGCUGGUGUGAGGCAUCACACCACCACCUUUCCUCUCUCGUUUGAUUGAGUUGCGAAGGUGAUUCGAUCAGAGUUCAUCCCACUUUCUUGCAUUGUCUGGUGUGUAUGCAAAUUAGAGGAUCUAUACUUUCAGACCUCCACAAAGGUUUGUUUCUGAUUUUUGAAGAUUUGAUCUCUGGUUUUGCUGCUAAUCAGGUAAAAAUUUGAUCCUUAUUCAUGU
This 260-nucleotide long non-coding RNA is filed under the name Elaeis guineensis (African oil palm). RNAcentral describes it as "long non-coding RNA (EGUI_LNC063616)". Lineage: Eukaryota; Viridiplantae; Streptophyta; Magnoliopsida; Arecales; Arecaceae. The record is from RNAcentral.